CCUACGGGUGGCAGCAGUCGAGAAUCAUGCACAAUGGGGGAAACCCUGAUGGGGCGACGCCGCGUGGGGGAAUGAAGGUCUACGGAUUGUAAACCCCUGUCAUGUGGGAGCAAAUUAAAAAGAUAGUACCACAAGAGGAAGAGACGGCUAACUCUGUGCCAGAAGCCGCGGUAAUACAGGGGUCUCAAGCGUUGUUCGGAAGCACUGGGCGUAAAGGGUGCGUAGGCUGUUUCGUAAGUCGUGUGUGAAAGGCGCGGGCUCAACCCGUGGACGGCACCUGAUACUGCGAGACUAGAGUAAUGGAGGGGGAACCGGAAUUCUCGGUGUAGCCGUGAAAUGCGUAGAUAUCGAGAGGAACACUCGUGGCGAAGGCGGGUUCCUGGACAUUAACUGACGCUGAGGCACGAAGGCCAGGGGAGCGAAAGGGAUUAGAUACCCUUGUAGUC
This 446-nucleotide ribosomal RNA is filed under the name uncultured bacterium. RNAcentral's name for it is "partial 16S ribosomal RNA". It matches the Rfam family "Bacterial small subunit ribosomal RNA", at positions 338 to 795 of the family's 1533-position model. The record is from RNAcentral.